CGAAUGCUGACAUAAGUAACGAUAAAGCGGGUGAAAAGCCCGCUCGCCGGAAGACCAAGGGUUCCUGUCCAACGUUAAUCGGGGCAGGGUGAGUCGACCCCUAAGGCGAGGCCGAAAGGCGUAGUCGAUGGGAAACAGGUUAAUAUUCCUGUACUUGGUGUUACUGCGAAGGGGGGACGGAGAAGGCUAUGUUGGCCGGGCGACGGUUGUCCCGGUUUAAGCGUGUAGGCUGGUUUUCCAGGCAAAUCCGGAAAAUCAAGGCUGAGGCGUGAUGACGAGGCACUACGGUGCUGAAGCAACAAAUGCCCUGCUUCCAGGAAAAGCCUCUAAGCAUCAGGUAACAUCAAAUCGUACCCCAAACCGACACAGGUGGUCAGGUAGAGAAUACCAAGGCGCUUGAGAGAACUCGGGUGAAGGAACUAGGCAAAAUGGUGCCGUAACUUCGGGAGAAGGCACGCUGAUAUGUAGGUGAAGCGACUUGCUCGUGGAGCUGAAAUCAGUCGAAGAUACCAGCUGGCUGCAACUGUUUAUUAAAAACACAGCACUGUGCAAACACGAAAGUGGACGUAUACGGUGUGACGCCUGCCCGGUGCCGGAAGGUUAAUUGAUGGGGUUAGCGGUAACGCGAAGCUCUUGAUCGAAGCCCCGGUAAACGGCGGCCGUAACUAUAACGGUCCUAAGGUAGCGAAAUUCCUUGUCGGGUAAGUUCCGACCUGCACGAAUGGCGUAAUGAUGGCCAGGCUGUCUCCACCCGAGACUCAGUGAAAUUGAACUCGCUGUGAAGAUGCAGUGUACCCGCGGCAAGACGGAAAGACCCCGUGAACCUUUACUAUAGCUUGACACUGAACAUUGAGCCUUGAUGUGUAGGAUAGGUGGGAGGCUUUGAAGUGUGGACGCCAGUCUGCAUGGAGCCGGCCUUGAAAUACCACCCUUUAAUGUUUGAUGUUCUAACGUUGGCCCCUGAUCGGGGUUGCGGACAGUGUCUGGUGGGUAGUUUGACUGGGGCGGUCUCCUCCUAAAGAGUAACGGAGGAGCACGAAGGUUGGCUAAUCCUGGUCGGACAUCAGGAGGUUAGUGCAAUGGCAUAAGCCAGCUUGACUGCGAGCGUGACGGCGCGAGCAGGUGCGAAAGCAGGUCAUAGUGAUCCGGUGGUUCUGAAUGGAAGGGCCAUCGCUCAACGGAUAAAAGGUACUCCGGGGAUAACAGGCUGAUACCGCCCAAGAGUUCAUAUCGACGGCGGUGUUUGGCACCUCGAUGUCGGCUCAUCACAUCCUGGGGCUGAAGUAGGUCCCAAGGGUAUGGCUGUUCGCCAUUUAAAGUGGUACGCGAGCUGGGUUUAGAACGUCGUGAGACAGUUCGGUCCCUAUCUGCCGUGGGCGCUGGAGAACUGAGGGGGGCUGCUCCUAGUACGAGAGGACCGGAGUGGACGCAUCACUGGUGUUCGGGUUGUCAUGCCAAUGGCACUGCCCGGUAGCUAAAUGCGGAAGAGAUAAGUGCUGAAAGCAUCUAAGCACGAAACUUGCC
Molecule: ribosomal RNA, 1524 nt
Filed under: Escherichia coli
Lineage: Bacteria; Pseudomonadati; Pseudomonadota; Gammaproteobacteria; Enterobacterales; Enterobacteriaceae
Description: partial 23S ribosomal RNA
Rfam family: Bacterial large subunit ribosomal RNA
Source: RNAcentral